UUGAACAACGUCUCUGGCAAU
Molecule: non-coding RNA, 21 nt
Filed under: Caenorhabditis elegans
Lineage: Eukaryota; Metazoa; Nematoda; Chromadorea; Rhabditida; Rhabditidae
Source: RNAcentral